AUUCCCUGGGAACCGUCGUAGGUUAAGGUGCCGGGAUGCACGUUUGCCGCUUUUUUUCCUGGUGAAACUUGAGCUGUGAGCCCAGAAACCCUAGGGACCGGAGCCCGAUGGAAUGAAGCCUCCGGGUCCACUUCUCAUGGCCUUCCACCCUGGAGAAGGCACCAUUUUAGCCCACCCAGCCGCAGAAUCCCCUACAGCUAGUUUUCUUCUGUCUUGUGCCCACUCCCCCGGCUCUGCCCUGACAGCUUCUGGAGCUCUCUAGAUUGACCCUCGUCCCUGCCUUCCAGCUUGUGGGACGUCUCUCACACUGCCCGUGCUUAUUUUACCAAACCGCAGGAACAAGAUUUACGUGUUAAAUACCUGAUUUCAUGGACUGUGUGCCCCGGCUGUUCUAACCAAAACAGUCACGCGCCUGUUUCCCAUCUCUUGACCCUCGUGUUAUGUUACUGUCUUCCUGUCAUAUUUGGGAGUUAGUCUCUGAGUUUUCUUCCCAGGUGCCUUAGCUGGACCAAUUAUUGUGGAGCCACAUGUCACAGCAGUAUGGGGAAAGAAUGUUUCAUUAAAGUGUUUAAUUGAAGUAAAUGAAACCAUAACGCAGAUUUCAUGGGAGAAGAUACAUGGCAAAAGUUCACAGACUGUUGCAGUUCACCAUCCCCAGUAUGGAUUCUCUGUUCAAGGAGAAUAUCAGGGAAGAGUCUUGUUUAAAAAUUACUCACUAAAUGAUGCAACAAUUACUCUGCAUAACAUAGGAUUCUCUGAUUCUGGAAAAUACAUCUGCAAAGCUGUUACAUUCCCGCUUGGAAAUGCCCAGUCCUCUACAACUGUAACU
RNAcentral lists this small RNA (829 nucleotides) under Pan troglodytes (chimpanzee). RNAcentral describes it as "processed transcript". The record is from RNAcentral. Lineage: Eukaryota; Metazoa; Chordata; Mammalia; Primates; Hominidae.